Molecule: ribosomal RNA, 498 nt
Filed under: uncultured bacterium
Lineage: Bacteria
Description: bacterial SSU rRNA
Rfam family: Bacterial small subunit ribosomal RNA
Source: RNAcentral
CGAACGCUGGCGGCGUGCUUAACACAUGCAAGUCGAAUGCGAAUCGGUGUUUCGGCAUCGUAGUAGCAUGGCAGACGGGUGAGGAGCGCGUAUCUGACCUGACACUCGAAGGGGGAUAGUCCUGCGAAAGUGGGCAUAAUACCGCGUACGCUCGUGAGGGUAGAGCUUCACGAGGAGAGGUGGCCUCUGCAUGCAUGCUGCUGUCGAGUGAGGGGGAUGCGUCCUAUUAGCUAGUUGGUGGGGUAAUGGCCUACCAAGGCGGCGAUGGGUCGCUGGUCUGAGAGGAUGAUCAGCCACACUGGGACUGAGACACGGCCCAGACUCCUACGGGAGGCAGCAGUGGGGAAUUUUGCGCAAUGGGCGAGAGCCUGACGCAGCAACGCCGCGUGAGUGACGACGCCUUUCGGGGUGUAAAGCUCUGUCAGUGGGGACGAAGGGCCUUGUGGUAAAGAGCCACAGGGGAUGACGGUACCUGCGAAGGAAGCCCCGGCUAACUCC